AAUACGUUCCCGGACCUUGUACACACCGCCCGUCAAGCCAUGGAAGCUGGGGGGACCUGAAGACAGUUGCCGCAAGGCGCUGUUUAGGGUUAAACUGGUAACUAGGGCUAAGUCGUAACAAGGUACCC
RNAcentral lists this ribosomal RNA (128 nucleotides) under uncultured bacterium. RNAcentral's name for it is "partial 16S ribosomal RNA". It matches the Rfam family "Bacterial small subunit ribosomal RNA", at positions 1365 to 1501 of the family's 1533-position model. The record is from RNAcentral.